RNAcentral lists this ribosomal RNA (498 nucleotides) under uncultured bacterium. Its description in RNAcentral is "SSU rRNA". It matches the Rfam family "Bacterial small subunit ribosomal RNA", at positions 26 to 518 of the family's 1533-position model. The record is from RNAcentral.
AGAUUGAACGCUGGCGGCGUGCCUAACACAUACAAGUCGAGCGGUAACAGGUGUAGCAAUACAUGCUGACGAGCGGCGAACGGGUGAGUAAUGCUUUGGAAUCUUCCCAGUAGUGGGGAAUAACCAGUCGAAAGAUUGGCUAAUACCGCAUACGUCUGUAAAGGGAAAGCGGGGGCUCGUAAGACCUCGCGCUAUUGGAUGAGCCAAAGUCGGAUUAGCUAGUUGGUGGGGUAAUGGCCUACCAAGGCGACAAUCCGUAGCUGGUCUGAGAGGACGACCAGCCACACCGGAACUGAGACACGGUCCGGACUCCUACGGGAGGCAGCAGUGGGGAAUAUUGGACAAUGGGGGAAACCCUGAUCCAGCGACGCCGCGUGUGUGAAGAAGGCCUGCGGGUUGUAAAGCACUUUUAGUGGGGACAAAAAGCUACGGAUUAAUACUCUGUGGUCUUGAUUUAACCCAAAGAAAAGCACCGGCUAACUCUGUGCCAGCAGCCGC